Molecule: long non-coding RNA, 611 nt
Filed under: Lotus japonicus
Lineage: Eukaryota; Viridiplantae; Streptophyta; Magnoliopsida; Fabales; Fabaceae
Description: long non-coding RNA (LJAP_LNC001237)
Source: RNAcentral
AACCAUAACCGCGACUUCUUCCAGCUCGACACACACCCACCUCUUCCCUCCCUUCAAACCUCACCCUCACCCUCACCCUCACCCUCGCCGUCGUCGGAGCUUCACGAGGUGGAGAUUAGUGACGGCGGCGCUGGGUUAGGGCAGCAAGAAGCAGCAGCGACGAAGGCAAUCGGAGGUGGUGGCGUGUAGAGCUUCAGAUCGGAGAGGGAGAUGGCGAUGGCACAGACAAGGUCUGGAGAAGAGGAGGUGACGGCGGCGCGAGGCUCUCGAUCUGCCCUUUGCUCUUGUUUUGCUUCUUCUUCUUCUUUCUUUGUCAGUCUCUCUUUGGUGUUCGUGUGGUCGUCGUAUGAAAAGGGAAGUAAAUGGUUGCUGGGUUGUUAAGGUUGCAGCAGGUGGGGGUGGGUUUCAGGGUGGUGGUGGUGACUGGCGGGUCUGGUUGGGUUUGGGUGGUGGUUUCUCGGUGGCUGGGUAUGGGUGGGGUUGGUGGGUUGUUGAGCUUGCUGGAGGUGGGGGUGGAUUUCUGGGUGAUGGUGGCUGGGUUCGUAGGUGAAGAUGAAAAGGGACGUGGUGGCUGGUUAGGGGAAUUGAUUUUGUUUAGAAUUCAUUUGGGG